AGACCCUCGACCUUAGUUGCCAGCAUUCAGUUGGGCACUCUAAGGUGACUGCCGGCUAAAAGUCGGAGGAAGGUGGGGAUGACGUCAAAUCAUCAUGCCCCUUAUGACCUGGGCUACACACGUGCUACAAUGGGCGGUACAAAGGGUCGCGAACCCGCGAGGGGGAGCCAAUCCCAAAAAGCCGCUCUCAGUUCGGAUUGCAGGCUGCAACUCGCCUGCAUGAAGCCGGAAUCGCUAGUAAUCGCGGAUCAGCAUGCCGCGGUGAAUACGUUCCCGGGCCUU
RNAcentral lists this ribosomal RNA (282 nucleotides) under uncultured Anoxybacillus sp. Its description in RNAcentral is "partial 16S ribosomal RNA". It matches the Rfam family "Bacterial small subunit ribosomal RNA", at positions 1098 to 1382 of the family's 1533-position model. The record is from RNAcentral. Lineage: Bacteria; Bacillati; Bacillota; Bacilli; Caryophanales; Anoxybacillaceae.